GCUUGUCUCAAAGAUUAAGCCAUGCAUGUCUAAGUAUAAAUAGUAUACAGUGAAACUGCGAAUGGCUCAUUAAAACAGUUAUAGUUUAUUUGAUAAUUGAAAAUUACAUGGAUAACCGUGGUAAUUCUAGAGCUAAUACAUGCUAUCAAGCCCGACUUCUUGAAGGGUUGUAUUUAUUAGACUUAAGCCAAUAUUCCUUGUGUCUAUUGCGAUGAUUCAUAAUAACUGAUCGAAUCGUUCAGCACCCGCUGGCGGUGAGUCAUUCAGGUUUCUGACCUAUCAGCUUCCGUCGGUAGGGUAUUGGCCUACCGUGGCGAUGACGGGUAACGGAGAAUUAGGGCUCGAUUCCGGAGAGGGAGCCUGAGAAAUGGCUACCACAUCUAAGGAAGGCAGCAGG
Molecule: ribosomal RNA, 397 nt
Filed under: uncultured Scuticociliatia
Lineage: Eukaryota; Ciliophora; Oligohymenophorea
Description: partial small subunit ribosomal RNA
Rfam family: Eukaryotic small subunit ribosomal RNA
Source: RNAcentral